Long non-coding RNA from Schistocerca americana (American grasshopper), 536 nucleotides. RefSeq lists it as uncharacterized. The transcript is spliced from 2 exons. The record is from RefSeq and is a predicted model, not a curated record. Lineage: Eukaryota; Metazoa; Arthropoda; Insecta; Orthoptera; Acrididae.
CAAAAUUUUUAGCGGGCAGAAAGAUCUGUGUUUGUUAUUGUUUUUGACGAUGUGGUAGAUGCCGCGUGGAACUUUUGUAGUAAUUCAGUAAUAGGCUUUAAGGUAUUGUGAUUUCUAAGAGACGAAAAGCGGAACGCAAAAUUGUUGGAGAGAAAACAGGAAACGUAAUAUACAUUCGCCUUCUGGGAGGCAGGCAAGCUGAUCGGUUAAAAUGAUUAUGAAACACAUCACAAAUACAGUACCACACCAGAACUACAGGAUUGUACUACCAAACGUUCUCUGCCACCACCCUUUAGUUUUUGGGAUGGUUACUAAGGAUAGACCACGGCAUAUAUCGAUGAUUGUUAUUUUAUAUUUUACCAUCUGCGCCAAAUUAAUAUAUUAAUGUUAUAGCAAUAUCACAGGCAAACUUUAAGAAAAUGAACCUUUUUACAUUCCACUGUGGAAACCCACUGUUGUAUAAUGUUUAUUGAAGUGGAUGACACUUUUAUAUCUUGUGUUGAAGUUUUUUUUGGAAUAAAUGUAAUUUUUUAGUA